CAGGUGUGUUCCUGUCUGGACCCUUGUUAUUGUCUGGACAGUCAUGUCCUCAUCUGUCCCUGGUCACCUGACUCUGCUCACCUCUUCACCUGUUUCCACCUCUGUCAUUAGCUCAGCUUCCACUCAUCACACUGUGUUUCAGCCACCUGUUUUCCUCAUGCUCCCAGUGUUUGACUCAGACUCCUACUUCCCUGGACUCCACCUGCUAGUUUUGGAUUACCUCUGUGCUUUAAACCCAUUUGGACUCUGACUCUGACUCUAACUGUUCUCCCUGUCUGCUUGGACCCAAGAACCCAGGCAGCACGAGUCCAGAGAGGUCAGGAGAUUCAUCAGGAGGUCAAGUACAGGUGAGGAGCGAGGAGCUGCAGCAUAUGUCACUCAACACAUCAGGCAGAGUUUCUCUGCUGGCUCAGAAUCUCCACGGCUGCCAGAACCGAACCUCUGUCCAUUGUUAUUCCUGAAGUCGCACAAUGGGGCCCGAAGGUCACUGAACUGACUCGGCACAUACAGUAUAUGGCAACGUAAACUUUCAAUUACAAAAAACCCACAAAGACUGCAGCACUGUGGCUUUUAUUGUGAAGCAGCAGUGAUGAAAAUAAACUUUGAAAAACAUGAGUGGAGGUGAAAUAGGUAUCUGCCCUCGCACACACCGGUUGGCUGGAUGAGGAGAUAUAUCCAAGUCAUCAUCAUCUUCCUCAUUUCACAGAUCUGUGCCCUUUAUCGUGCCCAAGAACUGCUGUUGAAACAGAAAACACAAAUGGGAGGAGGAGGAGGAGUUCGAACCUCUGCAGAGGGAACAUUUUUAGAGCUCAGAGGAAAAGUGAAAAUACAUUUCAGGGGACGGAUAAAGAGAUGUAGCAGAUGAACAGCACGAAUCAGUCCUUUUUGAAAAUAGUUUUCUCUCCUCGCUCUGUGCCGAGCAGUCAUACAAAACCCUCAUCUGAGCA
This is a long non-coding RNA of Monopterus albus (swamp eel), 947 nucleotides long. RefSeq lists it as uncharacterized. The record is from RefSeq and is a predicted model, not a curated record. Lineage: Eukaryota; Metazoa; Chordata; Actinopteri; Synbranchiformes; Synbranchidae. The transcript has 3 exons.